RNAcentral lists this ribosomal RNA (119 nucleotides) under Helianthus annuus (common sunflower). Lineage: Eukaryota; Viridiplantae; Streptophyta; Magnoliopsida; Asterales; Asteraceae. The record is from RNAcentral.
GGUUGCGAUCAUACCAGCACUAAUGCACCGGAUCCUAUCAGAACUCCGCAGUUAAGCGUGUUUGGGCGAAAGUAGUUCUAGGAUGGGUGACCCCCUGGGAAGUCCUCGUGUUGCAACCC